Molecule: long non-coding RNA, 201 nt
Filed under: Trifolium pratense (red clover)
Lineage: Eukaryota; Viridiplantae; Streptophyta; Magnoliopsida; Fabales; Fabaceae
Description: long non-coding RNA (TPRA_LNC013601)
Source: RNAcentral
CAAUCAAUUUACUUGCUGUGUCAAAACUAUGUAGUUCAUCUAAUUACAUUGUUAAUUUCACUGGUUCACAAUGUGUCAUUCAGGACAAGAAGUACUUGAAGAUGAUUGGUUCUGGUGAUGAGCAUGAAGGCCUGUAUCACCUUAAACUCACAGAUAGAUUGGCUCAUAUGGCUUCCAUUGAUGGUUCUAACCAUGCCACCA